UACGUAGGGGGCAAGCGUUAUCCGGAUUUACUGGGUGUAAAGGGAGCGUAGGUGGCAUGGCAAGCCAGAAGUGAAAACCCGGGGCUUAACCCCGCGGAUUGCUUUUGGAACUGUCAGGCUGGAGUGCAGGAGGGGCAGGCGGAAUUCCUGGUGUAGCGGUGAAAUGCUUAGAUAUCACGAAGAACUCCGAUUGCGAAGGCAGCUCACUGGACUGCAACUGACACUGAGGCUCGAAAGUGUGGGUAUCAAACAGG
This 254-nucleotide ribosomal RNA is filed under the name uncultured Eubacteriales bacterium. RNAcentral's name for it is "uncultured Clostridiales bacterium partial 16S ribosomal RNA". It matches the Rfam family "Bacterial small subunit ribosomal RNA", at positions 524 to 776 of the family's 1533-position model. Lineage: Bacteria; Bacillati; Bacillota; Clostridia; Eubacteriales. The record is from RNAcentral.